Pieris napi is the source of this 860-nucleotide long non-coding RNA. RefSeq lists it as uncharacterized. The record is from RefSeq and is a predicted model, not a curated record. The transcript has 2 exons. Lineage: Eukaryota; Metazoa; Arthropoda; Insecta; Lepidoptera; Pieridae.
GUGACCAAAUAUGGGAUAGUAUCCCUAAUAUGGAAUACCCCUAUUUCUCCCAAAUGCAAAUUCACAUACGCAAUAAACAAUGAUUUUGUGUCUCUAUUUACUCCCGUUUACGCGUACAAGUUGUAGCAUGUCAGUUGAGCAAGUGCUUUCGUCAUUGUGACAGUUUUUUGUUUUGUCGCUACCGCAUAACUUUCUAAGGAGAAGCCGCAGCUACUACACUCGGAAAGAAAACUGUCGUGUUGGCAAAAAACAAGAAUUAAAAACAGAAUGAGAAAAUAUCAAAAGGAAAAAAACUAAAACAGAAGACUAAGCCUAAUUUAGAUGAUGAGGAGGUGAUGCUUUUUGAUACUGACAGUGAACCCGAUGCCUUGAUAGGAUAUACAGCUCCAUAAUCUGAAAAUUCGCAGUGUAUUUUCUGUGGUGUGCUGUUUUCGAAUGAUACUCAUGGGGAAACAUGGAUCAAGUAUCUUAUGUGUGGACUCUGGGCAUGUAAUGAUUGCGCUGUGCCAGAGUUUGAUGGAUGGAUGACCUGGAUUUGUGAUUUUUCUAAAAAAAUUAUGUACCUUUCUAUAUUAUACCAAGUUUCCAAAGAGUCUCGUGUAUUUUAAGGUCAAUUUUUGAUAGUGUUUAUAGUAUUCCAUAUUUGGGGUACCUAUUCCAUAUUUAGGUACCUAAAUCGUUAUUUAGUUUCUUAAACUUUUUCUUACCUUAAACUAAUCAAUAAAACCUAAACUUAUUACAAACUUAAGUGCAAAUAUAUGAUUGUUAAUAAUUACCACAAAAAGUUUUUUAUUUAUAACACUUGUGGAAAUUAUGCCUAAAAAUCAAAAUGGUAUUCCAUAUUUGGUCACUCUCCUCUA